This 468-nucleotide ribosomal RNA is filed under the name uncultured bacterium. RNAcentral's name for it is "partial 16S ribosomal RNA". It matches the Rfam family "Bacterial small subunit ribosomal RNA", at positions 28 to 507 of the family's 1533-position model. The record is from RNAcentral.
GACGAACGCUGGCGGCGUGCUUAACACAUGCAAGUCGAACGGAAAGGCCCUGCUUUUGUGGGGUGCUCGAGUGGCGAACGGGUGAGUAACACGUGAGUAACCUGCCCUUGACUUUGGGAUAACUUCAGGAAACUGGGGCUAAUACCUGAUAGGAGCUCCUGCUGCAUGGUGGGGGUUGGAAAGUUUCGGCGGUUGGGGAUGGACUCGCGGCUUAUCAGCUUGUUGGUGGGGUAGUGGCUUACCAAGGCUUUGACGGGUAGCCGGCAUGAGAGGGUGACCGGCCACAUUGGGACUGAGAUACGGCACAGACUCCUACGGGAGGCAGCAGUGGGGAAUAGUGCACAAUGGGAGGAAGCCUGAUGCAGCAACGCAGCGUGCGGGAUGACGGCCUUCGGGUUGUAAACCGAUUUCGCCUGUGACGAAGCGUGAGUGACGGUAAUGGGUAAAGAAGCACCGGCUAACUACGUG